GACGAACGCUGGCGGCGUGCUUAACACAUGCAAGUCGAACGGAAAGGCCCUGCUUUUGUGGGGUGCUCGAGUGGCGAACGGGUGAGUAACACGUGAGUAACCUGCCCUUGACUUUGGGAUAACUUCAGGAAACUGGGGCUAAUACCGGAUAGGAGCUCCUGCUGCAUGGUGGGGGUUGGAAAGUUUCGGCGGUUGGGGAUGGACUCGCGGCUUAUCAGCUUGUUGGUGGGGUAGUGGCUUACCAAGGCUUUGACGGGUAGCCGGCCUGAGAGGGUGACCGGCCACGUUGGGACUGAGAUACGGCCCAGAAUCCUACGGGAGGCAGCAGUGGGGAAUAUUGCACAAUGGGCGGAAGCCUGAUGCAGCAACGCCGCGUGCGGGAUGACGGCCUUCGGGUUGUAAACCGCUUUCGCCUGUGACGAAGCGUGAGUGACGGUAAUGGGUAAAGAAGCACCGGCUAACUACGUG
This 468-nucleotide ribosomal RNA is filed under the name uncultured bacterium. RNAcentral describes it as "partial 16S ribosomal RNA". It matches the Rfam family "Bacterial small subunit ribosomal RNA", at positions 28 to 507 of the family's 1533-position model. The record is from RNAcentral.